AGUGAACGCUGGCGGUAGGCCUAACACAUGCCAGCCGAACGGCAGCACAGUAAGAGCUUGCUCUUACGGGUGGCGAGUGGCGGACGGGUGAGGAAUACAUCGGAAUCUACUUUUUCGUGGGGGAUAACGUAGGGAAACUUACGCUAAUACCGCAUACGACCUACGGGUGAAAGCAGGGGAUCUUCGGACCUUGCGCGAUUGAAUGAGCCGAUGUCGGAUUAGCUAGUUGGCGGGGUAAAGGCCCACCAAGGCGACGAUCCGUAGCUGGUCUGAGAGGAUGAUCAGCCACACUGGAACUGAGACACGGUCCAGACUCCUACGGGAGGCAGCAGUGGGGAAUAUUGGACAAUGGGCGUAAGCCUGAUCCAGCCAUACCGCGUGGGUGAAGAAGGCCUUCGGGUUGUAAAGCCCUUUUGUUGGGAAAGAAAAGCAGCAGGUUAAUACCCCGCUGUUCUGACGGUACCCAAAGAAUAAGCACCGGCUAACUUCGUG
Molecule: ribosomal RNA, 492 nt
Filed under: uncultured bacterium
Lineage: Bacteria
Description: partial 16S ribosomal RNA
Rfam family: Bacterial small subunit ribosomal RNA
Source: RNAcentral